This 445-nucleotide ribosomal RNA is filed under the name uncultured bacterium. RNAcentral's name for it is "bacterial SSU rRNA". It matches the Rfam family "Bacterial small subunit ribosomal RNA", at positions 330 to 792 of the family's 1533-position model. The record is from RNAcentral.
ACCAGACUCCUACGGGAGGCAGCAGUGGGGAAUAUUGCACAAUGGGGGAAACCCUGAUGCAGCGACGCCGCGUGAGUGAAGAAGUAUUUCGGUAUGUAAAGCUCUAUCAGCAGGGAAGAUAAUGACGGUGCCUGACUAAGAAGCCCCGGCUAACUACGUGCCAGCAGCCGCGGUAAUACGUAGGGGGCAAGCGUUAUCCGGAUUUACUGGGUGUAAAGGGUGCGCAGGUGGCAGGGCAAGUCAGAUGUGAAAGCCCGGGGCUCAACCCCGGUAUUGCAUUUGAAACUGUCCGGCUAGAGUGCAGGAGAGGUAAGCGGAAUUCCUAGUGUAGCGGUGAAAUGCGUAGAUAUUAGGAGGAACACCAGUGGCGAAGGCGGCUUACUGGACAGUAACUGACGUUGAGGCUCGAAAGCGUGGGGAGCAAACAGGAUUAGAUACCCGUGUA